UAAAGUGUGUGGUCUGCAGUGGCCAACGGGACCCCGGAAACGCGCCGCGCGUGUCGCCAGCGCGCUGCAGCUUCCAGGAAGCGGAACGAAUGAAGUUCAUUUCUCACAGCUGGUGAUGGCGGAUGCUAUCGAAAUAGAGACCAUGAAGAAUUAUAACAUAGCGUUUGAGAGGAUAGACCCGAGCAUAAGCCGCUAUCCCUACUGUAUUGUAUGGACGCCAAUCCCCGUAUUAUCAUGGCUGUUUCCAUUCAUUGGCCACAUGGGCAUCUGCACCUCCACAGGAGUGAUCCGUGAUUUUGCAGGUCCAUACUUUGUCUCAGAAGACAACAUGGCAUUUGGAAGACCAACAAAGUACUGGAUGUUGGAUGCAAGUAAAGUAUAUGCCAGUGGAUCUAACGUGUGGGACACAGCAAUUCACAAUGCAUCAGAAGAGUAUAAACAGAGAAUGCACAACCUUUGUUGUGACAAUUGUCACUCACAUGUUGCCAUGGCACUGAACUUGAUGCGCUAUGACAACAGCACCUCAUGGAAUAUGGUGAAUCUCUGCCUACUCUCACUCAUUCAUGGCAAACACGUCAGUUGCCUAGGCUUCCUGAAGACCUGGCUUCCAUUCUGCAUCUUAACCAGCGUCAUCCUGGCUGUUGCCCUGUCUCUAAACCUGCGAUGACCGCGCAGGAUCAGAUAGAGGUGGGGCGGCUCAGGGUGAGUGGGCACAAAGUCCAGUGCCCAUCGGGGACCCAUUUCUUCAGCUUAAGGGGGACUCCAAUGAAUGUCAACUUGAAGUCCAGCUCUUCAAAGCGUAGAGGAGCUCAACAUCAAAAAUCAAAUGCUAAACCUCUUUCUCGUAGGGUAGAGACAGCACAUACACCAUGGCUUCAACGUCUUGUGGUGAUUAUUGCCAAGAGCAGCAGGUAGCCAAGUGUCUUGAGCUCUUUGGAGACUCUUCAGAUGGGCUGCUGUGUGUGAGGAGUGUGUGGCCCCUGCUGGCACCGGCUAGAGCUGAUCAGAUUAGAAAGCCUGUGUGAAGUGUGACGUUCUUACCGACUGCUUUCCUGUCUUCAAAGACGUGAACUAGUGGAUCAGAAGCACAUUUGACUGUUUUAAUAGUCACUGCAGCCCAGUAGUUUCCAUUUCCUGUUUGUAAUCCCUAAAGAUGAGGGCAUUUCACAGGUUUAUACUUUUAUAAAACAUUCAUUCAUUCACUGAAAUCUUUCUAUGGUUACAAUGUCUAUGUAAAAUGUUAAAAUUCACAUGCCACUUUCCACAAAUAGGGUAGAAAAGGGCCUGAAAUUAUAUAUAAAAGAUUUUAUUUUCCAUGUUACAAACACUUGGUCCUGGACUAAAUCUAGUUUAUAAGACCUAAUUUGUUAAGAAAUGUAGGGUUUUCAACAGGCUUGCAAAUUGUCUUCUUUGGGACCAAUAGGGGAAUCAUGUGGUGAGCUUAAAAUGUGACUUUUUUUUAUUUUUUUUUAAAGGUUUUUCAUGUUAUGUUAAAUUUCUGUGCUCUGCCUUUAGACAUCAGGCUUCCCUAUAUGGAAAGUGGCACUUCAAUUUUUUUGAUAGAUUUGUGGCAUUCGAAUAGUUUUAUUAGCAGAUUCCAUAUCUAUCCAUAUCUUAUCUAUGCGUAAAAAUGAGCUGCAAAUGUUUUCCUUUCUGUUAAGCUCAGCAUUACAUUAUCUUUGCACAAUUACUAACAAAUAGACUUUUAAUAUUUAUGAAACUAUCACCUCAAACCUUCUGCAGCUGCAUUAGUGUGUUUGAACCAGUGCGUGUGUGUGUGUGUGUGUGUGUGUGUGUGUGUGUGUGUGUGUGUGUGUGUGUGUGUGUGUGUGUGUGUGUGUGCACGUGAAUGUUUGCUUAUUAGCAUGUUCUGCUCUGUAAGCCAGUACGCACGUGUCUGUUACUGAGAAAGUAUGAUAUUGGCGAUUUGUAUUUAACACUUAAUAGUUCUGGGUUUCUUAUUUAUUGCUAAUAAUCAAAUGCAUUUUAAUAUCAGGUUAUUAGAAUCUUUGUAAUGAUAUAUUUUGCCUUCUAGAGAACUGGCUGCAUGUAUUUUGCCUUCUGGCUGUAGUAUGUGUGGUAUGUUGAAUGUUACAGAUAAAUAAGAGAAGCAGAAUGCUUUUUCUUUCUUUCUUUCUUUCUUUCUUUCUUUCUUUCUUUCUUUCUUUCUUUUUUUUAAGCCUGAAUAACGUCAACCAUUAAGUAGAGCACAUGGAACAACUACAAACAGGGUAAAAUAAAAACACUUCUCAAGGCCUUUCUUACUCCAGAUGAGUUACCACUUAAUUUUAUAUUCAUAAGGCAAUAACCUUAUACACUAUUCUGUAUUCAAUAUAAGAAGGUGAAGAAAGAUUACUGUGUGCUUAAUCUGAUUUAAUUUUAUAAACUGUGCAUCAGUUUAAGCAUUGUUGCAGACCAGAUCCUUUCAUGGAAACGGUAUUCCCUGGUGGCUGUGGUCUCUUUCAUCAGGAUACUUAUAUUGGUCUAUUGGUCUUUCAUUGUCUUUUACUUUUCCUUUCUUUUACUCCAAAGCACCCAGUAAUGGGGAUUUUAAAUCGAGUUAUUGAGUUCGCACAAUGAAUUUCCUCAUAGCCGAGUCUGUGUCCAUAACAAGACCACCAAUGGCAAAAGCCAAUAUCCUGCCAUCAAAAACCAAUGGAAACGUAAAAUCAUCUUCUAAAUCCUUUAAAGUUCCCAGUUUUGUAUAAUUAUCAUCAAAUUUCAAACAGAUUCUGCCAACAAUAUAAUGUAUAUUUAAUGUCCAUGCAUUAUUGAUAUCAAUAAAAUGUUUACUAUUACUAUA
Molecule: RNA transcript, 2803 nt
Organism: Megalobrama amblycephala (Wuchang bream)
Lineage: Eukaryota; Metazoa; Chordata; Actinopteri; Cypriniformes; Xenocyprididae
Gene: tmem222b
Gene name: transmembrane protein 222b
Exons: 7
Source: RefSeq, a predicted model, not a curated record